GUUUAACAAAAUCAUUUUCUGAAAAACAUGCCUCGACUUAGAUGCAGUUCUACGCCAGCCCUUUGAACCAACGGCUUGGCAUUGCCUUUCACAACAUGCUCUCAGACGCAUUGUGUUGCGUUUGCAAUUUCAGAUCCCACUUUUCACAAUGCAAAUGGCAAUUAUUCCACUGAAAAUGACUCUAUUUCCAGUGGGAAAGCCAUCGACAUCAACAUGCCAUUAUCAUUAUCAAACAGAUACUGUUGGCAGCCGGGCAAUAUACUGGCCCGAUUGCUGGUGGUGCUGGUGGUGCUGGUGGUGCUCCUACUGCAGCAGUUGCCGCUGAGCAUUGCCAACAAAUCUGUUAACAGUUGGCAAUAAUUGUGCUGCAGCAGAAACGUCCUCAUAAUUUCAGUGGCUGCUUUGUCCCUUUUCGGAGGCAACAUAAUGUUAUAUGCCGGCUAUUUUUGGGCUGGGCCUUUUAUUGUUGCUGCCAGUGUUGUCAUCGAUGGCAUUAAUUUUGGUAAGUGCGCACAAAAACGGAUAGGGUAUGCUGGGAUCGGGGGCUCUCUCUCUGUGUAUGUGUGUGUGUGUGUGUGGGGCUGGCCUAAGAACUUGAAGAGACAGUUUUCAACACGCACUGGCAAACGAUUUUUAUGGCACGACAUUUCCGAGCAACAUUUUCUUGAAUUACUCGCUCAAUUUCCGUUGAAUCAACAUGCGAGCCGGAGCCGGAGCCGGACCCGAGGGCAUCCGAACUGCAACUGCAAUGUUAAUUGAUGGCCUGUUGCAAUAUUGUGUAAUAUUAAUUAGCCCCCGGCGCGACAACCAUCAAAAUAUAAUUUGUAAAUACAUAUUUGCGCAAACAUUUUGCACUCAACUCA
This is a non-coding RNA of Drosophila virilis, 863 nucleotides long. The record is from RefSeq and is a predicted model, not a curated record. Lineage: Eukaryota; Metazoa; Arthropoda; Insecta; Diptera; Drosophilidae.